UUCGGAAUGAUUUAUAGUCAAGAAAGCUUGAAAGUUGGGCUUAUUUUUAUGUAUUCAAUUCGACUAGGUCGUCCUGUGAACAUAAGUAAUACCGGCAUUUUCAGCUCCACCGCCGCAAAGGCUUACGUAUUGUUUUAUUUACAGGAAUAUAGACUAUGUCUCAAGUAACUGGUGUUGUUAAGUGGUUUAACUCUGACAAAGGUUUUGGCUUCAUCGCUCAAGAAUCAGGUCCAGACGUUUUCGUUCACUUCCGUGCUAUCGUAGCUGAUGGCUUCAAAACUCUGGACGAAGGUCAAAAAGUUAGCUUCACUGUGACUCAAGGCCAGAAAGGUCCUCAAGCUGAGAACGUUCAAAUCAUCGGCUAAGACCUAAACAGGUUUUAAUAAAACGCGGAGCAAUUACUCCGCGUUUUUUA
This 415-nucleotide small RNA is filed under the name Shewanella mangrovi. RNAcentral describes it as "cspA thermoregulator". It matches the Rfam family "cspA thermoregulator". Lineage: Bacteria; Pseudomonadati; Pseudomonadota; Gammaproteobacteria; Alteromonadales; Shewanellaceae. The record is from Rfam by way of RNAcentral.